UGCAUCGGCCAGUAAUCGAACCCGGGCCGCCCGCGUUGCAGGCGAGCAUACUACCACUGAACCACCGAUGG
RNAcentral lists this transfer RNA (71 nucleotides) under Cordylochernes scorpioides. RNAcentral describes it as "tRNA-Cys". The record is from RNAcentral. Lineage: Eukaryota; Metazoa; Arthropoda; Arachnida; Pseudoscorpiones; Chernetidae.